Molecule: ribosomal RNA, 411 nt
Filed under: Bemisia tabaci
Lineage: Eukaryota; Metazoa; Arthropoda; Insecta; Hemiptera; Aleyrodidae
Description: partial 16S ribosomal RNA
Source: RNAcentral
AUUCUUAAUCCAACAUCGAGGUCGCAAUUUAUUUUGUGAAUAAGAGCUUCUCAAAAAUUUUGCGCUGUUAUCCCUUAGGUAACUUGGUUUAAUUCUUAUUUGGAUAAUUUAACUUGAGAUAGUUCAUCUUAUUAUAUUUAAAGAUUUAUUUAUUUAAAAAUCUCCCCAACUUAAUAAGUCAAUCUAAUUAACAUAAUUUAACUUAUAAAGUUCUAAAGGGUCUUCUUGUCUUUUGGUUUAAUUUAAGAUUUUUCACUUAAAUAUUAAUUUUUACUCUUUUAAUUUAAAAAGUUUGUUUCACAUUGUUUCUUUCAUUCAAGCUUUUAAUUAUAAAGCAACUUAUUAUGCUACCUUAGUACAGUUAAUUUACUGCAGCUAUUUAAAUUUGUCAUUGAGCAGAACUUAUCUAAA